This 308-nucleotide unclassified non-coding RNA is filed under the name plant metagenome. RNAcentral describes it as "partial contains small subunit ribosomal RNA and internal transcribed spacer 1". The stretch from base 1 to 54 matches the Rfam family "Eukaryotic small subunit ribosomal RNA", at positions 1778 to 1831 of the family's 1831-position model. The record is from RNAcentral.
GGAAGUAAAAGUCGUAACAAGAUUUCCGUAGGUGAACCUGCGGAAGGAUCAUUAACAUGGAGAGGGGAUGGUGCGCGCGCCUGGUCUGGCUUGGGCUGGAUCGGGGGCGGGCCAGUCCUGGUGCCUGGGGCUUGGGCCGGCAGGCCGGGUAGAGAAUACCCGGGCGGCAGGCCUGGGACAGGGUACACACAUGCCCUUCAGAUCUCCGGGUCUGGAUGCGUGCAUAAGCGCUUGGUAGUCGAUAAUUGUGCACAAGUAUAUAUAUUACGAAUGAAAGUCAGGGAACACUUUUAACAAUGGAUCUCUUG